CUAGCAUGUGUGCUAAUUUGUAUACUGUCGUCUAGUCUGGGUCUUUGGAGACUGCCCGGUGACCCCCGCCCAGGGAGCAACGGGUCCACGUUCCCGCAAACACGGACGGAUCUCGGGACCUUUUUUGCGACUCCCACUGAAGUGCAAAGAAACUGAAGUGUUCGUCACAAGCGCGACAUUCAUCCUUCAUUUGCGGUCCUCUUCUUUUUCUUUUCUUUACAACGUUGAGUUCAACCCCGAGUCGUCACCGACUGGAGAGUCCCUUUGGAGGAUUCAAAGACCGGCAAGUGCCUAUUUCUGUGGAAACCUGCGCAGAUGCGACGGGAAUGCGGACGCGGGAGACACAAAGUCGCUUUCCCACGUGAGGGUUCAAGCGACGGGAACGGAGACGGAAUGAAGAAGGAAGCGCAGCAUUCGAUUUGGGACGUUUGUGGUUGUUAUGAAAGAAGCGAGAGGAAAAGGAAGGCGGGGAGAUAACUUGGCAGCGGGGGCUGAGACAAGUGCAGGCGGGGGGAAGGCUCCCAGUGGAAGAUCGCCACUCAAGCCCCCGUGAGCAGUCCAGACAGGAAGCCAGGUGGCGCUCUUUUUGACAGGAUGACAGUGAACCUUUUUCGUGCUUUCUUGCACGACAGUACGUUACGCCACAACUGAGCUCCAGCGUAGACGAGGGAGGGAAGGCCCCCUGCUAAACUUCAGCAUUGCUGUCGUAAUUCAUACACACCAGAGGGAAUAUUGACCAAUGAGUAUUCUUCUACCCUCUGUUUGUAUGCGUUGUUGCGCCGUCUUAAAGUUCUUUCAGUCAACAUCAAUGCUGAUUUCUGUACCAAGUAUCUUGAAACUUUUGUAGGUCUAUGAACGGUUUUGGUUUUCCAUCUUGUGAAGGGCUCUCCCUUUGCCAUCAAAUCAGCAGUUUUCUUAUUCUGCAUGCAUUCAAAAUCAAAUGUAAAAAAAAACCCAAAAAAACAAAAAAGAAGAGAGAAAAUCAAAGGUCCAAGAUUCGGCAAAAAUAAAAACGGGGGUUGGACGUAUUCCCACGCGUCAACCAGUUACUCAUUUUCACCCCAUGUGUCACAAUACUCUGAGCGGGACGCCGGGCCUUAAAAAACACCAGAUUCUGCCCUCGGUUUGAAUUGAAUACGAGGAAGUCGAGGCUCGCGUGCACGCGAGCUAUCAGCAGAGCCUUGGCGCAGGAAGCGCCGACGUCACGGCACAAGUCGGAGGACAAUGCGGCAUUCGGACAGGAAGCGGAGCGCUCGGCCGACCUUCGCCUGGACCGCGACGGUUCUCGGCGACGUGAUUUCUGUCCCGCAAGCCAAAAGUCUGCAAUGGAUCACUGACAUUGGGCGGAGCGUCUUGACACGCUUGGGAACGUGCACACGUUUCGCUUGUUGGACCCUGGAAACUCUACAAAGGCUAACUCCAGAUUCCAAGGGUAUGAUGGCUCGGUACCGAUGGCUUUCAUGUGUCCCUUUCACAAUCAGUUUCAGCAAGGAGUGACCCAGUGAUGUUCUACGACAGUCUUGCGUUUCUUGACAGCUUGAGAGUGAGAACAGAUGCGAGUGAACACUAGAAAAGUGUCGCGUAAGUGUGUUUAAAUGCCUUGAAAAGCGUGCGGAAGGUGGACAACUACCCCAAAAGAUUUGGACAUGGUUUCUUCUGCAGAUCUUCUCCUACCACGGCCGCAUCGACACGUCCCCAAAGUUUGCACGAGGACGCGGCAAACUUCUUCUCUAGUAACCGACAAGAAGCCACCGAAAAACGCGGAGGCAUCUUCGGGCUAACCCUUCUUCCUGCGGCCGUCCCUCUGCGCUUGUGAUGUCGCUCACGCCGUCCUCAAAAGAAAUAAAAACCAAAAAAAAAAAAAAAACGCUCGCGCUGCAUUUGCACGGCGCGGCACCGAACAGCAAAAACCGUCCUCGGCGGAGGUAAUGACACGCCGGCGCUUUGCUCCCGGCACCACUGCGCCUAAUUACAACCCCGCGGCAGUUGUGCCGGGGCCGUAAAAAGAUUUGAUAUGUAUUCAAGUCGUAAACGUUGGGGAGCCAUGUUUGGGGUCAUGUGUGUUAAGCUAAUUACAUGAUGUAGCAUCUGUCGCGUAGCCAAGCCUGCCUGCCGUGUCACUCAGUCACGACUUUGGCAACCACAACAAAAGUCUCCUACUACCAGGGAGCACCUAGCUAGUUCCUAAAAUGAUUUCAAAGUAGGAAUCCUGCUUUCGGAAUCAUUCAUCAUUCCCUACUCCCCAAUCGCAACAAAAGUCUUUUUAGUAAACGGCACACUCGGCAGAGAAAUGAAAAAUUGCUGGUGAACGCUACCCGAGCGCCGUUAAUGACGUCACAGCUGUCGCAAAAUUACAACGUGCUGCAUCAAAGUUAGCUCGUGGGACGUCUGCUGGAAACAUCCAACAAAAAAAUUCACGUGUCUGAUCUUUCACAGCCCCCAAAAUGUUGUCUCGGGGGACAACUCAAGCACCGAACAUAGCCAAGGAAAGAAAACCUUUGUCAUCAACCACGGUCGCUCAUUAUUCAUCGGCGAUAGCUAGCGAGAUGUACCGAGACUUUGGCCGAACAUUCUGCCGCUCCACGGUCGAGCGGUUGGCUGUAAAUUGGCCGAGCGGCAGACGACAUCCAACAAACGCGCGACUAGAAGUCGGGCGUCCCGCAU
Molecule: long non-coding RNA, 2664 nt
Organism: Syngnathoides biaculeatus (alligator pipefish)
Lineage: Eukaryota; Metazoa; Chordata; Actinopteri; Syngnathiformes; Syngnathidae
Exons: 2
Source: RefSeq, a predicted model, not a curated record